GUCGCUUGAUAAGCCCAAUCGAGGAACAAAUCGUUCGAUGUUUCGAGCCCAUGAGGAGUUCGCCACCUGAGUCCUCCGAGUCCGACGCGAAGAAACGCGAUCGCGGGCGACGGCGACGUGCGACGAUCAAGGUUGAGAAAUACUUACCACCAAUUCUGAGAAGUUCCUCCACCGUGCCAGGUAUAUAGGUUAAUGGCAAGCAAAAUAAAGGAUCUCCAGAAAAAAACUUGCGGAGUGGAAUAGAACAUACAAAUUUUUUUGUGCGACUGGUCCCUUGGACAACAAGAUUUGUCAUAUUUCCAAUGAGGUCAUCUUCCCUGAAGUUUGGUAUCACUGCUCCUAUCCAGGUUCUUUUUGGGUCAGGGUAUCGGUCGGCAAUCAUAUAGUUAAAGCAUCCAGAACAAUGAACUGCAAAAAUAGUUACCUGCGUUACAAAAAAGUUAUUCUUUUAGAAAUCAAGCAGCUUUUUGAAGCAAGACAAAUUGAAUACCAUUCUGAAAGCUUACUGAGAAAAGUUUUGUGCACCGUGUCCAGAAAUAAUUGAACCGAAUAUCCUUCUCAAGCCUGAGGAAAGAAAAUUAAUGAGAUUGUUCCUGUUCUUCUAUUUGUGAUAUAUGUACUGAGAAAUGGGAGAAGAUACAGACCUAGCAAACAGAGAACCGACACGACGCAGACGCCACAGUCUAAGCAUACUCAGAAGUUUGAAGCUGAGACUAUUACCAUGUCUAUUGUAGGAGAAGCUGAUUGUUUGAAUGGGAUAUGUUGAACAUGCAUCAAAGAUGAACCAAGUAGAUAGAUACCUGUGUAAUAUUUUGUCAUGGAAUUUGGACUAAAUAGCAAAGUAUGUAUUAGUACUUUGGAGAAAUAAAAGGUAAACACUGACCUGACUGCUAUUCUCUUUGGAUCAUCAACAAGAAGACAGGAUUUGUGAUCCAUGAAAGCAACAAAGAAUGUGAGUACAAUGUCGAUUGCAAAAAAGCUAUCGACAAUGUUAUCCACAAGAAAAAUUUUGCUUGGCAAGUAUCGUAGAAAUGCAAACUCAAAUGGGCAGAUCCAGGCGGAGUAGAGAACCAGAAAUAUCAAGAACAACUCCCAUAGUCUGGAAAGCAGUUAGUGAAAAGAGAAGAAAAUAAACUGUCCAGUUUUCUAAAAUAUGAAUGUGAGAAAACAGACUGAUGGGUCAAUAUACCUGUAACGAGGAUCAUAUGGGGAGACAAUGUGCUUCCUGAGUUUGGUUGUAUGGUUUAUUGUUGCUCCAAGUGAUGGCAAAAGGUCAUCAUGUAAGUUGAAUCCUCCACUUUCCAAUUGGAAACCAUCAUUGCAAAAAUGUUGUAAGUAGUUCAUGCAAGAGAACAUGGUUGCAAUGUGAUGCUUUUGUAGUUUGAUAUUCGGUGGUGAUCGAACUCGAGUGAUCUACUAUAUAUAUAAGAAAGUGAAGGCUGCUGUCUGUCUGGUGUCUUGAGCAAAUGGGCUGGUUGGUAAAUGCAGAGCGAGGUUUGGAUGAGGAAAAAGGUCAUGAGAAGGGAAAAAGCGUAAUAGAGAACUUGGAUUUAAUCACUAGGAUCAAAAGAUUUGCAGAUUGUGUGAUAAAUUAUAAAGGUUAGAGAUUUGAUAUUCUGGAAACAAUGGGCAAUAGUUUCAUGCCAAGUUCACAAGGUUUAUGGUAGUGGGAAUUCCAAUUACACACGUCUGAAGUGGAUGGAUUUUUUACAAAAUCGAUGUGAAGUCUUGGUUUAAAAUGGACAUAGAUGAUCGAAACAGCUGAAUCAUAUCGAAGCCCUAUGACUCAAAGUUACUUUGAAAUUAAUUAAGGAAAUGACUCUUGGCUUUUUGUGGGGCUAGUGCCUUUUGUAAACAGUAAAGUCACUGUUUUGGGUUUGCUUGAACCCAUGCCCUUCCAGUGCCAACAGAGGAUCUGCUGUGUUCAAGCACCACUUUUGGGAUGAUGCAUGUCUGGUCCGUGAAUGUGGCCAGAUAUUCUGUGGAGUUAGUCAUCUGAUGGAGACCAUAUGAUCAUAACCAAAAGACCUUUGGUUAUUUAAUCAGAAAGACAUUAUUCUCUCUUCCUAAUGAAGUUCUUUUAGUUUCUCCCAGAUGGUAAUUUCUUUGGCGACAUGAUGUUGCAUUUUGAUAGAAAAUGUGGCCCCAGAAACGACAUCCAUACUUGUGACAUGAUGCAAAAUAGUCUUCAACCUAUGUGCUAUAAAAUAGUAAUCUGGAGAUUAAGUCAGUUUGUGGCAACUCAAAGCCUACAAAUGCCCACUUUGUUUUGCAAAUUGCAAGGCUGUGUGCCACCAUGUCGGAAGAUGAUGAUAACCAGACUUCUAUUGUGACCCCAUUGAAGUCAGUGUAGCUCAAUGAAAAUCAUGUGAUCUGGUCUCUGGGAAGAUGGAUCUGUCCAUGAUGAAAUGUCUGGAUGACGGAAUAAUAUGGGUGUCAAACCUUGUGGUGGGUGCAAUGGAUGGGUGAUUGAUGCUGAGCAAGAAUGAGACAUCACCUCUUGGUCACGCAGCCUGUUGUUAACGAUGUCAUAUUUAUCAGCAAAAUCCAAGGAUCACAUCAUUCAAAUACAUUAUUUGAGUUCUUUUCUGCACAGCUCAAGCAUGCGAGAAGCAGCACCAGGCUUUGCAGAGUUGGUUGGGUUGGAUGAAGCCUUAGUCCUGUAGCAAUGCGAACAAUGGCUAUGAUUGGACAACCCAAGAAAACUACGAAGGAGAGGAUUGAUCUUGAGUGCUACAGCACAUGAAGUUCUGGAUCAAAGAAAUGUGCCAUCAUCUAUUUGAUGAGUGAAGAAAACAUAGAGCCAACUGGUUGCCAAAGCAAUUGUUUGGUUGUUGUCUAGGCAACAAAGCUCAGUGCCAAGAGCAAUUAUUUGGAUGCUGUGCAGGUAAUGUUACUAGGUGGAAAAAUUUUGACCUUUGCAUCCAACAGUAGAAGGCAGGACUGCUGGCAUGGGCCCUCUUGUCAGCAAGGAAGGCUUCCCCCCUCGUGUCCCCACUGCUUCUUGUGGUCCUAUUGGAAAACUGGGCAUACAACUCGAUCAUGACUACAUAUCCAUUAGUACAUGGAUCUUCUGAACCAGCCAUGCGAUUGGAUAGUUGGGCGGUGCCUAUUUGUGGCAGGGAGAGGAUGAUUCCCAGUAUGGAUAGCUCAAGACUAUUUUACCAGGUGCCAGUUGAGGUCAUGCCAUGGCGGGCAAAUCACUAUCCAAGGGUGCUGCUGUUCAUGUGGAAUCAAUCACAUUGCCGUGAUGUUAAAAAAGAACCCAUGCUCGUUACACUUGUUUGGUCGUGCCU
RNA transcript from Musa acuminata AAA Group (dessert banana), 3296 nucleotides. RefSeq lists it as uncharacterized. NCBI's taxonomy places the organism in Eukaryota, Viridiplantae, Streptophyta, Magnoliopsida, Zingiberales, Musaceae. The record is from RefSeq and is a predicted model, not a curated record. The transcript is spliced from 8 exons.